UACGAAGGGGGCUAGCGUUGUUCGGAAUUACUGGGCGUAAAGCGCACGUAGGCGGCUUUGUAAGUUAGAGGUGAAAGCCUGGAGCUCAACUCCAGAAUUGCCUUUGAUACUGCAUGGCUUGAAUCCAGGAGAGGUGAGUGGAAUUCCGAGUAUAGAGGUGAAAUUCGUAGAUACUCGGAAGAACACCAGUGGCGAAGGCGGCUCACUGGACUGGUAUUGACGCUGAGGUGCGAAAGCGUGGGGAGCAAACAGG
RNAcentral lists this ribosomal RNA (253 nucleotides) under uncultured bacterium. Its description in RNAcentral is "partial 16S ribosomal RNA". It matches the Rfam family "Bacterial small subunit ribosomal RNA", at positions 524 to 776 of the family's 1533-position model. The record is from RNAcentral.